Long non-coding RNA from Scylla paramamosain (green mud crab), 444 nucleotides. RefSeq lists it as uncharacterized. Lineage: Eukaryota; Metazoa; Arthropoda; Malacostraca; Decapoda; Portunidae. The record is from RefSeq and is a predicted model, not a curated record. The transcript is spliced from 4 exons.
CCUUCCUUCUAUUGCGCACUUAGCCAUGGAGGGCGCAGCAGAGUAAAGCGUCCCACAUAUUUGCUGUUUUCUACACGUUUCAAAUUUUGGUUGAUGCGUCGCUGGAACUUGACUGGACUGAGAAACGAAGUUGCUUUUUACGAGUUGGUGACGCACGGUUGCUGGUGCGCCUUCAGACUACACUUGAAGGGAAAAAACUAAGCUAGAAUAAGCAGAUAAAUGUGAAGAAAUAGCAGGCAUAAGGAGACAUGAUGGAAAUGCAAGACACCGAGAUAUUUCAGGAAAUGGCACAACACCAAUAAGAGCACUGCCAGAGAAGAAUGGAGCUGACGUUAAGUGAGACCAAGUUUGGCAGCACAAUGCGGCAAGGUGUGGUGCUGCAGGGAGUGGCUGGGGCUCUACUGUCCGUGGUGUGAGGCCGAGAACAGUCAUGGGGGAUGAGGU